GGGCUUGUAGCUCAGCUGGUUAGAGCGUUCGGUUCACAUCCGAAAGGUCGGCCGUUCGAAUCGGCCCAAGCCCA
RNAcentral lists this transfer RNA (74 nucleotides) under Candidatus Magasanikbacteria bacterium RIFCSPHIGHO2_02_FULL_51_14. RNAcentral describes it as "tRNA-Val". It matches the Rfam family "tRNA". From Rfam's summary of the family: Transfer RNA (tRNA) molecules are approximately 80 nucleotides in length. Their secondary structure includes four short double-helical elements and three loops (D, anti-codon, and T loops). Lineage: Bacteria; Candidatus Magasanikiibacteriota. The record is from RNAcentral.